RNAcentral lists this ribosomal RNA (446 nucleotides) under uncultured bacterium. RNAcentral's name for it is "bacterial SSU rRNA". It matches the Rfam family "Bacterial small subunit ribosomal RNA", at positions 340 to 774 of the family's 1533-position model. The record is from RNAcentral.
UACGGAAGGCAGCAGUGGGGAAUAUUGCACAAUGGGCGCAAGCCUGAUGCAGCCAUGCCGCGUGUAUGAAGAAGGCCUUCGGGUUGUAAAGUACUUUCAGUCGUGAGGAAGGUGUUAAGGUUAAUAACCUUAGCAAUUGACGUUAGCGACAGAAGAAGCACCGGCUAACUCCGUGCCAGCAGCCGCGGUAAUACGGAGGGUGCGAGCGUUAAUCGGAAUUACUGGGCGUAAAGGGCACGCAGGCGGUUAAUUAAGUUGGAUGUGAAAUCCCCGGGCUUAACCUGGGAAUGGCAUUCAAGACUGGUUAGCUAGAGUCUUGUAGAGGGGGUAGAAUUCCAUGUGUAGCGGUGAAAUGCGUAGAGAUGUGGAGGAAUACCGGUGGCGAAAGGCGGCCCCCUGGGACAAAAGGACUGACGCUCAUGUGCGAAAAGCGUGGGGAGCAAAAC